AUGGGUUAGGUAAAUGUUUCAUGAUAAGAAUUUCAUGUCUUUUGUAUUAAAGAAUUAAAUGGAUGAAAUAUGAAGUUUUAUUAAAGAAAAAGGGGUGAAAAGAACAAAGUUUUGUCCAUCUUUGUUCAUCAUAGCUGAAAGUUAGAGAAGAGAAAGGAGAGGAGAAAGCUCUUGAGUAUUUGGUCAUUAGGAGGAGGAAAAUUGAAGGAAAUCCCCAACCAUAGUGGGCUUGGAGCUGUGAGGGAAUUCGGAGUGGCCACCCGUUCUGAAAGUUUGAUUUUCUUCUGGUGAACUGGACAUCCUUUUAAUUACGUUUGAGGUUUUGGGCUUUUAAAUGUAAUAAGGCCGCUUAUUUA
This is a long non-coding RNA of Gossypium arboreum, 356 nucleotides long. RefSeq lists it as uncharacterized. The transcript is spliced from 2 exons. Lineage: Eukaryota; Viridiplantae; Streptophyta; Magnoliopsida; Malvales; Malvaceae. The record is from RefSeq and is a predicted model, not a curated record.